This 282-nucleotide long non-coding RNA is filed under the name Setaria viridis. Its description in RNAcentral is "long non-coding RNA (SVIR_LNC007111)". The record is from RNAcentral. Lineage: Eukaryota; Viridiplantae; Streptophyta; Magnoliopsida; Poales; Poaceae.
GUGAUGGGUGCAUACAGGGAGGUUCGGUCGAUUGUGGGAAGUUGUAGGUUGUCCCAGUUGAAGUCAAGUGUUCUCUCCGUUGGGUUUGAUAGGUGAAGUGUUCAUAGAUGAUCUUGUGUUUAUCUUGAUGUGGGGUUGCCCAUCCCGUUCCCCUCCUUAGUCGUUGAAUGAAGUUCUUACGCCUCCUUACGUUUGCCUUUAGGUGAAAAUAACGCGUGUUUGCAUCCCCUCAUGCAGGUUUGUGAUUCUGGAACAUUGCCGUUUCCUCGCCUUCUCAAUUAC